AGUGAACGUUGGCGGCGUGGAUUAGGCAUGCAAGUCGAGCGAGAACCGUAGCAAUACGGGGACAGCGGCGAAAGGGACAGUAAUGUGUAGGUACCUACCCCGAGGUCUGGGAUAGCUACGGGAAACUGCAGGUAAUACCGGAUAAUGUCUUCGGACCAAAGGUGUGAUUCCACCUUGGGAGGGGCCUGCAUCCUAUUAGCUAGUUGGCGGGGUAAUGGCCCACCAAGGCAACGAUGGGUAGCGGGUGUGAGAGCACGACCCGCGUCAUUGGGACUGAGAUACGGCCCAGACACCUACAGGUGGCUGCAGUCGAGGAUCUUCGGCAAUGGGCGAAAGCCUGACCGAGCGACGCCGCGUGCGGGAUGAAGGCCUUCGGGUUGUAAACCGCUGUCGUAGAGGAGGAAAUGCAGGGGGGUUCUCCCUUCUGUUUGACCUAUUCUAGGAGGAAGGACGGGCUAAGUUCGUGCCAGCCGCCGCAGUAA
Molecule: ribosomal RNA, 482 nt
Filed under: uncultured bacterium
Lineage: Bacteria
Description: partial 16S ribosomal RNA
Rfam family: Bacterial small subunit ribosomal RNA
Source: RNAcentral